AUUUUAUUAAUAUAAAAAAUAUAUUUAAUUUCCAAUUAAAAAAUAAAAUA
RNAcentral lists this transfer RNA (50 nucleotides) under Parasaissetia nigra. RNAcentral describes it as "tRNA-Gly". Lineage: Eukaryota; Metazoa; Arthropoda; Insecta; Hemiptera; Coccidae. The record is from RNAcentral.